UACAGAGGUCUCGAGCGUUGUUCGGAUUCAUUGGGCGUAAAGGGUGCGUAGGCGGCGAGGUAAGUCGGAUGUGAAAUCCCGGGGCUCAACCCCGGAACUGCAUUCGAUACUGCCUCGCUUGAGGACUGGAGAGGAGACUGGAAUUCACGGUGUAGCAGUGAUAUGCGUAGAUAUCGUGAGGAAGACCGGUGGCGAAGGCGGGUCUCUGGACAGUUCCUGACGCUGAGGCACGAAGGCCAGGGGAGCAAAC
RNAcentral lists this ribosomal RNA (250 nucleotides) under uncultured bacterium. Its description in RNAcentral is "partial 16S ribosomal RNA". It matches the Rfam family "Bacterial small subunit ribosomal RNA", at positions 524 to 773 of the family's 1533-position model. The record is from RNAcentral.